UCCGGUUCAUCACCGGCGGUCCCCUUAGAGUUCCCAGCUUUACCUGAUGGCAACUAAGGGCGAGGGUUGCGCUCGUUACGGGACUUAACCCAACAUCUCACGACACGAGCUGACGACAGCCAUGCAGCACCUGUCUCCUGGUUCCCGAAGGCACUCCUCUAUCUCUAGAAGAUUCCAAGGAUGUCAAGAGUAGGUAAGGUUCUUCGCGUUGCAUCGAAUUAAACCACAUGCUCCACCGCUUGUGCGAGCCCCCGUCAAUUUCUUUGAGUUUUAACCUUGCGGCCGUACUCCCCAGGCGGAGAACUUAACGCGUUAGCUUCGACACUAAAAGGUUUUACCCUUCUAACGUCUAGUUCUCAUCGUUUAGGGCGUGGACUAC
RNAcentral lists this unclassified non-coding RNA (379 nucleotides) under uncultured Gammaproteobacteria bacterium. RNAcentral's name for it is "contains 16S-23S intergenic spacer region". The record is from RNAcentral. Lineage: Bacteria; Pseudomonadati; Pseudomonadota; Gammaproteobacteria.